Molecule: long non-coding RNA, 503 nt
Filed under: Equus caballus (horse)
Lineage: Eukaryota; Metazoa; Chordata; Mammalia; Perissodactyla; Equidae
Description: lncRNA (ENSECAG00000052876.1)
Source: RNAcentral
CUCAGCAAGGAAUGAUGAAAAAUAAAGUUUCCCUGAUUAGACGAGACCCGCAGAUGACUGGAAGUAGAAUCUGAAACUGUUCUCUGUGUUGCUCAAGAAGUCGCUGUCCCGCCCUUCAGAGUGCCAUGUCUCCACCCCGCCUCGACUCAGUGACAGAAAGAAACAUUUUUGUGCGUGAUUUUGGUCUGCAUGUGUAUGCUGUAUGUUGGAGUGGAAUUGCUGAGUCAUCGAGUAUGUGUAGUUUGGCUUUGUCAGUAAGUGCCCAACGAUCUUCCAAAGUGAUUGGACCAAUUCACACCUCUACCUCCAGCAUCCAAGGGUUCCGAUUGCUCUACACCCUUGCCAACACUUGCCACUGAUAAUGUCUUCCUGAAGAAAUGAAUUUAGUUACUUUUCUUCCAUUUGCCAAAGAAUUGGAGGGAGGGGAAAAAGAGAAUUUUUGUCUUCAAUUUCUUUUAUAUUUUUAGUUGCUCCUGAGGCUUCUCAGGCUCCAUCCCUCACAG